AAUCCAUAUCGAGGACAUUUCCGCAGGAGCUCCUUGAACCUAUCUCAUGUAUCAAAUAGAGACUCUAAUUCCAUUUGUACAGAAGAUGAUAUGUCAUUCCUAAGCUU
Molecule: small nucleolar RNA, 107 nt
Organism: Dioscorea cayenensis subsp. rotundata (Guinea yam)
Lineage: Eukaryota; Viridiplantae; Streptophyta; Magnoliopsida; Dioscoreales; Dioscoreaceae
Source: RefSeq, a predicted model, not a curated record